Molecule: ribosomal RNA, 279 nt
Filed under: uncultured bacterium
Lineage: Bacteria
Description: partial 16S ribosomal RNA
Rfam family: Bacterial small subunit ribosomal RNA
Source: RNAcentral
CGUUUCUCCGUCCGGCGACCGGCGCACGGGUGGAGUAACACGUAUGCAACCUGCCCCUGUCAGGGGGACAACCCGCCGAAAGGCGGGCUAAACCCGCGUACAUGCCACCGGGGCAUCCCGGAGGCAGGAAAGGCUUCGGCCGGACAGGGAUGGGCAUGCGGCGCAUUAGGCAGUAGGCGGGGUAACGGCCCACCUAACCGACGAUGCGUAGGGGUUCUGAGAGGAAGGUCCCCCACACUGGUACUGAGACACGGACCAGACUCCUACGGAAGGCAGCAG